GGGUUUCGGCCCGUAUUGUGUGGUGACUCUGGAUAACUUUGUGCUGAUCGCAUGGCCACGAGCCGGCGACGUUUCUUUCAAGUGUCUGCCUUAUCAACUUUCGAUGGUAGGUUACUUGCUUACCAUGGUUGUUACGGGUAACGGAGAAUCAGGGUUCGAUUCCGGAGAGGGAGCCUGAGAAACGGCUACCACAUCCAAGGAAGGCAGCAGGCGCGCAUAUUACCCACUCCCGGCACGGGGAGGUAGUGACGAAAAAUAACAAUACGGGACUCUUUUGAGGCCCCGUAAUUGAAAUGAGUACACUCUAAAUCCUUUAACGAGGAUCAAUUGGAGGGCAAGUUCGGUGCCAGCAGCCGCGGUAAUUCCAGCUCCAAUAGCGUAUACUAAAGCUGCUGCGGUUAAAAAGCUCGUAGUUGGAUCUCAGUUCCAGACGAGUAGUGCAUCUACCCGAUGCGACGGCUCGGACUGAACAUCAUGCCGGUUCUUUCUUGGUGCACUUCAUUGUGUGCCUCGAGAUGGCCGGUGCUUUUACUUUGAAAAAAUUAGAGUGCUCAACGCAGGCGAGUCGCCUGAAUAAACUUGCAUGGAAUAAUA
Molecule: ribosomal RNA, 594 nt
Filed under: Rhipicephalus turanicus
Lineage: Eukaryota; Metazoa; Arthropoda; Arachnida; Ixodida; Ixodidae
Description: SSU rRNA
Rfam family: Eukaryotic small subunit ribosomal RNA
Source: RNAcentral